Molecule: non-coding RNA, 73 nt
Organism: Stegodyphus mimosarum
Lineage: Eukaryota; Metazoa; Arthropoda; Arachnida; Araneae; Eresidae
Source: Rfam
GCUUUCCUGGUGUAGCGGUCAGCACGCUCGACGCGUAACCGAGAAGUCCGCGGUUCGAUUCCCUGCGAAGGCU